RNAcentral lists this long non-coding RNA (459 nucleotides) under Paramuricea clavata. Lineage: Eukaryota; Metazoa; Cnidaria; Anthozoa; Malacalcyonacea; Plexauridae. The record is from RNAcentral.
ACUUCUACUAUAUAGUAAAAGUACUUCUACCUAAAGUAGAGGUAGCACUCGGAGAGCCAGCCGGGGUAGCGAGGCGAAGAGAAGACCAACCUUGCAAAUGCAAAAUAAUGCAAAUUGCUAAGUCGAUCUUCUCUUGAGAGCAGCCACGCGCAUACCUGGCAAAUGUAAAACAACAAGCAUUAGUAACAAAUACUCGACAUGCAAAUUUUGAAUCCCAUGGCCGAAAUGACAAGUGCCCCCCACUGAUUCCUACCAGCUGCCUACCUGCCUCAAUCCUAAGCUGUCUGCCUCAGUCCUAAGCUGUCUGCCUUGGUCCUAAGCUACCUGCAUUCCAUUCGUAACUUCCGCUUUCCUCACCAUCACACAGACACUCACAACUGCCCAACCUGCCACCAGCCCGAACUGCCCACCCUUAAAACUGAAGGAAUUAAAAUUUUGGUAAAGUAUACAUAAUUAAUU